This 406-nucleotide ribosomal RNA is filed under the name uncultured bacterium. RNAcentral's name for it is "partial 16S ribosomal RNA". It matches the Rfam family "Bacterial small subunit ribosomal RNA", at positions 30 to 526 of the family's 1533-position model. The record is from RNAcentral.
AUUGAACGCUGGCGGCAGGCCUAACACAUGCAAGUCGAACGAGUGGCGGACGGGUGAGUAAUGUAUGGGAAACUGCCCGAUGGAGGGGGAUAACUACUGGAAACGGUAGCUAAUAACGCAUACCAUCGGAUGUGCCCAGAUGGGAUUAGCUAGUAGGUGGGGUAAAGGCUCACCUAGGCGACGAUCCCUAGCUGGUCUGAGAGGAUGACCAGCCACACUGGAACUGAGACACGGUCCAGACUCCUACGGGAGGCAGCAGUGGGGAAUAUUGCACAAUGGGCGCAAGCCUGAUGCAGCCAUGCCGCGUGUGUGAAGAAGGCCUUCGGGUUGUAAAGCACUUUCAGCGGGGAGGCGUUACCCGCAGAAGAAGCACCGGCUAACUCCGUGCCAGCAGCCGCGGUAAUUC